Molecule: ribosomal RNA, 497 nt
Filed under: uncultured bacterium
Lineage: Bacteria
Description: partial 16S ribosomal RNA
Rfam family: Bacterial small subunit ribosomal RNA
Source: RNAcentral
GAUGAACGCUGGCGGCGUGCCUAAUACAUGCAAGUCGAGCGGACGGACGUGAAGCUUGCGUCUCUGAUGUUAGCGGCGGGCGGGAGAGUAACACGUGGAUAACCUCCCUAUAAGACUGGGAUAACUUCUGGAAACCGGAGCUAAUACCGGAUAAUAUUUUGAACCGCAGGGUUCAAAAGUGAAAGACGGGCUUGCUGUCACUGCUAGAGGGAUCCGCGGUGCAUAAGAUAGUUGGUAAGGUAACGGCUUACCAAGGCAACGGUGCAUAGCCGACCUGAGAGAUUGUUAGUCGACGCUGGGAGUGAAAGACGGGCCAGACUCCUACGGGAGGCCGCAGUAGGGAACUACGGGAGAUGGGAGUAAGCCAGACGGAGCAACGCGGCGUGGGUGGUGAAGGUCUUCGGGUCGGGAAAUUGUGUGAUUAGGGAUGAACAUCUUUUUAAGCAAGUGAGCAAGCAUUGACGGUACCUAAGCAGAAAGCAACGGCUAACUACGUG